CAUGCAAGUCGAGCGGGGGAAGGUAGCUUGCUACUGGACCUAGCGGCGGACGGGUGAGUAAUGCUUAGGAAUCUGCCUAUUAGUGGGGGACAACAUCUCGAAAGGGAUGCUAAUACCGCAUACGUCCUACGGGAGAAAGCAGGGGAUCUUCGGACCUUGCGCUAAUAGAUGAGCCUAAGUCGGAUUAGCUAGUUGGUGGGGUAAAGGCCUACCAAGGCGACGAUCUGUAGCGGGUCUGAGAGGAUGAUCCGCCACACUGGGACUGAGACACGGCCCAGACUCCUACGGGAGGCAGCAGUGGGGAAUAUUGGACAAUGGGGGGAACCCUGAUCCAGCCAUGCCGCGUGUGUGAAGAAGGCCUUAUGGUUGUAAAGCACUUUAAGCGAGGAGGAGGCUACUUUAGUUAAUACCUAGAGAUAGUGGACGUUACUCGCAGAAUAAGCACCGGCUAACUCUGUGCCAGCAGCCGCGGUAAUACAGAGGGUGCGAGCGUUAAUCGGAUUUACUGGGCGUAAAGCGUGCGUAGGCGGCUUAUUAAGUCGGAUGUGAAAUCCCCGAGCUUAACUUGGGAAUUGCAUUCGAUACUGGUGAGCUAGAGUAUG
Molecule: ribosomal RNA, 602 nt
Filed under: Acinetobacter baumannii Naval-17
Lineage: Bacteria; Pseudomonadati; Pseudomonadota; Gammaproteobacteria; Moraxellales; Moraxellaceae
Description: bacterial SSU rRNA
Rfam family: Bacterial small subunit ribosomal RNA
Source: RNAcentral